Bos taurus (domestic cattle) is the source of this 1506-nucleotide long non-coding RNA. Lineage: Eukaryota; Metazoa; Chordata; Mammalia; Artiodactyla; Bovidae. The record is from Ensembl.
CUUGAAUGAAAAAUUUUUUCUUUACACUUCCGUAGUUUUAGAUGGCACUAAGAUGAAUUUUGAAGGCUGGCGGGAUUGUGGUUUGCAGGGGGUUAACGAAUGACUUCGGGCCAUUUAAUAAUGGAGGUAAAACGGAAGUCAGAAGAAAAUUCCAGAGCUACUCCAGGAAACUGCAUUAGAAGUCAACUUCCUUUGCAGUCUCUGCUCCACGGCGGCGGUACCUCCGGCCCCGCAGGCCAGCGAAGACCCGCGUGGGCCUCCACCUGGAGCAAGGACUAGAGCCAGAAAUGGGAGAACCCAGAUGCCCAAGCACACCUUACAGAGAGACCAGGUUCAGUCCCAAGUGGUAUGAGGCUAUCCCCUGAGCCAUAAGAUGGUUGCAAACUCUGAUGCCCUGGAAUUCCAUUCCCCCGGACUGGAGAGCCUCCUGAUAAAAGAAACCACCUGGGGGCAGGAGUCCAACCUACAAGCCCACCAUCGUGGUCCUGAAAGACUCCUGUCAGUGCAUUAGGCCCCUCUGCCAGGAUAAGGCAACUGGGCCAGAGAGGCUCUUAGUCACCUCCAGAGACUGUGCCAUCAGUGGCUAAGGCCAGAGAUGCCCACGCAGGAGCAGAUGCUGAAGCUCCUGGAGCUGGAACACUCUGGCCCAUCCUAAGAGAUCCACAUGGGUUCAGUGUCACACCCAGAGGGUGACAAGAGGCAGCAACCCGGAUGGAGGAUUUGCAGUGACAGCCCAGGAACCAGGAUCCUGAGUGAGAAGGGCCAGAGACCCAGAGAGUGAACACAAGGCAUGUGUCUGAUUUCUGGUGUGAUCCUUGACCUCCGAUUCUCACAAUCCUGGAUCAGAGAGGACUCUUAUCAUCUCUUCCAGAAGAGAGCCUGUUUCCCAGGAAAUCAUCCUGCACAGUGUGGUAAAUGCCUCAGAAGUGGACACACAGAGGCAUGUGCUCUGGAGGUGUCUGUGUCACUGAGGUACCCUGAAGACACAUUGCGCUGGUGGACUUCUUCCGUGCAUUCAGGAGUUCAGAUGGACCGAUGUUUGUGGAGCCUUCCUGUGGGUCUGUAACAUGAGCCCCCUCCUUCCUGGACCUCUGCACCAGCCCAUCCCCUCUCCAAGGUAUUCACAGAAGCAACCAGGGCUCCAGGUGCACAAGCCUGAGUGGCUGGAAGUCCAGCUUCUUAGAACUUAAAGCAACUAGGAUGCCCCUCCAAAUAAAAUGUUGCACCGUAUGAUGAGUUCCCCUGUCCAUGAAAAUUUCUAACAAGAGCUCAGAUGACAGCUCAUCAGGGUGUGGAAAAAGAAACUAUGCAACAGGCAGUUUGGAGAAUCUUGGUUUUUCCUCCAGUAAGAUGCUGUGAUUUUUGAAAAGGUUUGUAAAGAGUAUGGGACAGUUGAUCACCUCCCACUUUUUCUGUUGGUCAGUUCUGCCAGAGGCAGCCGUGCCCACUGGUCCACACUGCCAUAGUGGCUGGACCAGACCUCAGAGCCACCCUGAGGGGUCUGGG